UACCAGCACCCCGAGUGGUCGGGACGAUUAUUGGGCCUAAAGCAUCCGUAGCCGGUUCUGCAAGUCCUCCGUUAAAUCCAACUGCUUAACAGAUGGGCCGCGGAGGAUACUACAGAGCUAGGAGGCAGGAGAGGCAAGCGGUACUCAGUGGGUAGGGGUAAAAUCCGUUGAUCCAUUGAAGACCACCAGUGGCGAAGGCGGCUUGCCAGAAUGCGCUCGACGGUGAGGGAUGAAAGCUGGG
RNAcentral lists this ribosomal RNA (241 nucleotides) under uncultured bacterium. RNAcentral describes it as "partial 16S ribosomal RNA". It matches the Rfam family "Archaeal small subunit ribosomal RNA", at positions 474 to 715 of the family's 1478-position model. The record is from RNAcentral.